This 348-nucleotide ribosomal RNA is filed under the name uncultured prokaryote. RNAcentral's name for it is "partial 16S ribosomal RNA". It matches the Rfam family "Bacterial small subunit ribosomal RNA", at positions 8 to 352 of the family's 1533-position model. The record is from RNAcentral.
AGAGUUUGAUCCUGGCUCAGAUUGAACGCUGGCGGCAUGCCUUACACAUGCAAGUCGAACGGCAGCAUGAUCUAGCUUGCUAGAUUGAUGGCGAGUGGCGAACGGGUGAGUAAUACAUCGGAACGUAUCCUUGAGUGGGGGAUAACGCAGCGAAAGUUGUGCUAAUACCGCAUAAGCUCUGAGGAGGAAAGCGGGGGACCGAAAGGCCUCGCGCUGAAGGAGCGGCCGAUGUCCGAUUAGCUAGUUGGUGAGGUAAAGGCUUACCAAGGCGACGAUCGGUAGCUGGUCUGAGAGGAUGAUCAGCCACACUGGGACUGAGACACGGCCCAGACUCCUACGGGAGGCGAC